Non-coding RNA from Syngnathoides biaculeatus (alligator pipefish), 627 nucleotides. NCBI's taxonomy places the organism in Eukaryota, Metazoa, Chordata, Actinopteri, Syngnathiformes, Syngnathidae. The record is from the annotation of a RefSeq genome assembly.
CCGACUUGUCUCGUGAUUCGUGUGGAUCACAGAUCACAUCUGCAGCAUCUGCAAGAUGAACUCACUCUGUCUUCUGACGCUUUCAGUCCUUCUGGCCUCCUGUGCCGGUCAGAGUAUGGAGUCCAUUCCUUCCAGUGCGGUCGUGAAACAAGCGGGUCAGACCCUCAAUCUUUCUUGCCGAGGCUCUGGGUUCACAUUUUCCUGCUGCGUUAUGCACUGGAUCCGGAAAGCUCCUGGAAAAGGCCUUGAAUGGAUAGGAAAGGGCUUUUCAUCGUCCAGUAGCAACAAAUAUGCCAGCAGCUUGACAGGACGACUUACCAUUAGCAGAGAUGAUGCCAACAGCAUGGUUCAUCUGACACUAUCAAACCUACAGCCCGAAGAUUCUGCCGUCUAUUACUGUGCAAAAGACCACAGAAGUUGAAACACACAGGAGGGCGCUCCAAAAACAAGGAAGUUGGGGGAGGGAUGCAAGUCGUGAGGUACACACAACAAGAAGUAAACAUGAAGAAUGGUAAAUCCAAAUCUUCACCAUAUUGUUGAUCAGCCAAUUUCUCCUUUACAAGGGGAUGAAGUGAAAAUGGGGAAAGUUAUUUUUUUUUCACAAAAAUUCACAUUUUAAGUUGAACA